This 492-nucleotide ribosomal RNA is filed under the name uncultured bacterium. RNAcentral's name for it is "partial 16S ribosomal RNA". It matches the Rfam family "Bacterial small subunit ribosomal RNA", at positions 29 to 507 of the family's 1533-position model. The record is from RNAcentral.
AGUGAACGCUGGCGGUAGGCCUAACACAUGCAAGUCGAACGGCAGCACAGUAAGAGCUUGCUCUUACGGGUGGCGAGUGGCGGACGGGUGAGGAAUACAUCGGAAUCUACUUUUUCGUGGGGGGUAACGUAGGGAAACUUACGCUAAUACCGCAUACGACCUACGGGUGAAAGCAGGGGAUCUUCGGACCUUGCGCGAUUGAAUGAGCCGAUGUCGGAUUAGCUAGUUGGCGGGGUAAAGGCCCACCAAGGCGACGAUCCGUAGCUGGUCUGAGAGGAUGAUCAGCCACACUGGAUCUGAGACACGGUCCAGACUCCUACGGGAGGCAGCAGUGGGGAAUAUUGGACAAUGGGCGCAAGCCUGAUCCAGCCAUACCGCGUGGGUGAAGAAGGCCUUCGGGUUGUAAAGCCCUUUUGUUGGGAAAGAAAAGCAGCAGGUUAAUACCCCGCUGUUCUGACGGUACCCAAAGAAUAAGCACCGGCUAACUUCGUG